UCGUUGUUGUGGUUGUCUCGAUAGUUAUGAUUUUUGUCAACGGUCCUAUUGCAGAGGCGUCGUUCUUGGUGGUCGAGCCGCUGAUGGAGAAGAUUCAUAGAGAGAUUUGUUGGGUGGACGCUGACAUCCUUGCCGCCGUCCGGCAGCAGGUUCAGGCUUGCGAUCUCAUGUUCCAUUUGGUUUGCAAUAGCUACGCUCUUUGCAUUAGUACUGGUUAAAUAUGGCCAAACUAAUGUGUGAAAAAAGGACCAGGGCAGUACUUACAAAAAGAGGCAAGCUGAAGAGGAAAGUUGGAAGAAGGAGAGCAACUGUGCGUUGUUCUGACUGCCUCUUCCUCAUGUCGCUAAGUGUCACAGGCAAGAGGACCAAGUGCAGGCUGGUGAGCAUCAGGAGUCCAGUCGAUUGGCUUCGGCCUUCGAGGUGCUGCUGGCUAGCGGUGCCACUUCCGAGCGUCUCCUCACCCCUCACUCCUGUGGCCCCUUCAACUGGUGGCACUUUUGCUUGUGUCUUGUUAUCUUUUUGAAAUGGUGAAGCUGACAGUGAUAGCCUGUAUCACUGAUGGCCUUCCAUUGGCGGAGUGCUUAGAUGGUGGUUAUGUGAAGGAUGUUGUCUUCUACAAGCAGCAAGAAAAAUUGUUGUUCAAAAACAUAUCUAAAGGCCAACAUGAAUCAUCAAGACUGUCAACUGAGACUGGACCAUACCGUUCCAGGUCAAGGUAUGUAUUUACAUUUUUUGCUUUCAGCAAGAUGAGGAUAAUGUGACUGUUUGUGUGCGUCCGUGCUAUAUGAUGCAUUUUCGCUUUCAUAGAUGAGGAUACUGUGACUAUUUGUGUGUGUGCGUGCUAUAUGAUACAUUUUUGCUUUCAUCAAGAUGAGGAUACUGUGAAUGUUUGUGUGGGUGCUUUAGUGGUUCUAGGUUAUUGUAGUAGUAUAACUAGGCUUCGUUUACACAGAAUCCAAAUAGAAUUUAGUUUGGAGCUGGUCAAGACAUGGUGUAGUAUUAUAACCUAUUAAUUUGGUUGGACUGGUCAAGUGUUCUAUUAAUUCUUGCUGCAGUAUUCAUUCUGUAGUAUGUACUAGCUCUUAGACAAAAUAAUUGUUUAGCCCCUGAUUUCUUAGCUACUGGUUGGUCCUGUAAAGCUACAUCCUUGCUUUCCGAUUAGUGUUAUUUGAAUCUAUAGCAGUGGAUAUGCGUAGAAGAUCCGCUAAUUUGUUUUUUUCUUUAUUUAUCAUGUGAUGGACAUUUGUCGGAGCUUUGCCGCCUUCAUCUCGACUCCGUCGGGGUUCCAGGUUCACCCCCCUGUGGCACGGUGAUUUGCGGCGGCUGCGGGGUCUUCCCCUGCUUUGGUGGUGGCCGGCAGGCGUUUGCCCGGCUAGAUCUGGCGCGGUGCAGGACCUGUGGUGCAUGGCCUGGUUUAUGGGGGCGGGAGACACAUGGGUCCUUGGUCCGGCAGCGUCGGCAGGACGCUGUGCGCCCGUCUGCUUUCUUGCUAGAUACGUGUUUAGGAAAAAACUACAAUACUCCUUCAAGGUUUAUACAUCAAUUGCAACGGGUUUUAGGAAUGCAUCACUAUAUUGAUUUUGGUUUAUACAUGAACUGCAGAGAGUUUUAUAAAUGUAUCAUUAUAUUGUUUUGGGUUUAUAUAUGAAUUGCAUGUUUUAGGCAUGUGAAAAUCAGAGCUCAGGCGGCAGGUGAUUUUUUUUCUUGCUUCUAAUGCUAGGAUGAUGUUCUGUAUACUAAAAAGGACUCGUGCACACUUGCUUUGCUCCUUAGUGUUUAUGAUCAGUUACCAAACAUUAUAAUAGGAUAUACACAUUGCUUCAAAACUGAGUAUGUUCCUUGGUGAUGGUGUAUUUAUUAUGAAAAUAAAUAGAACUGCUUACACAUGGUGAUGUGGUAUUCCUACUCGAUUACUUACCCUGUUUCUGUGACAAAGGCCCGUGAUAGAUAUGGUUAGACACAUAUUGAGCAUCCAAUUUCAUAAAUAUUGAGCAUACAGUUUCAACUUCAACUUAAACAUGAGAUUGUCUUGCCGUCGAGUUGUGUUCAGUUCUUUCCAUGUAGAACUUACUAGAAAUUCUUGCAUACAUCCUAAACAAAUAAAGAGCUGCAUGCAUUUAAAUUAAGCAGUUCCAAAGAAAGAAUUAUUUUAAGUUAUUUUGUUUGGAGAUGAGUUGCCUUUUCUACACCUUUGUGUAAAGGAUGGAGCCUCCACAAUGCCUAUGAGCCAUGCUUUUUCCCAUCCAGGAAAAUGGUCUAUUUUCAAGUGGCAUCAUACGGUGAAGGAGGGGAUCUGGAUCAAGAGCCGUAAUGGUGCGUAUGAUGGCAUGUCUAGCACUUGCGCGACCCUGGAGUCUGACUUCUUCUUGCAAGUUGACCAUACUAUUGUGAGAAUCUCGGCCAGGAUCAUUCUUUAUAUCAUGUUGGAUCAUCUUGGAAUUCGUAGAGCCAUUUACCGUCGAAGGAUGUACUCACAGAACAAAUCAGUGUGAUUAUGCUUUUCUACACUUCUGUCCAAAGUAAUGAGAUAUGUAUUCUAUACUGUACAGCUACCCUCUAAUGCACUACUCAGCCUUCAGUAUCUGCAUGUACAAAUGACCUAAUUAUUAUGAAUGACAUAUGGAGUGUGCUGCUUUCUAUA
Triticum urartu is the source of this 2641-nucleotide non-coding RNA. The record is from RefSeq and is a predicted model, not a curated record. NCBI's taxonomy places the organism in Eukaryota, Viridiplantae, Streptophyta, Magnoliopsida, Poales, Poaceae.